GCCUCUAUGGUCUAGUGGUAGGGCGUCUCGCUAGUAACGAGAAUAUCCGCGGUUCAAUUCCGCGUGGAGGCA
RNAcentral lists this transfer RNA (72 nucleotides) under Ramalina farinacea. It matches the Rfam family "tRNA". From Rfam's summary of the family: Transfer RNA (tRNA) molecules are approximately 80 nucleotides in length. Their secondary structure includes four short double-helical elements and three loops (D, anti-codon, and T loops). Further hydrogen bonds mediate the characteristic L-shaped molecular structure. tRNAs have two regions of fundamental functional importance: the anti-codon, which is responsible for specific mRNA codon recognition, and the 3' end, to which the tRNAs corresponding amino acid is attached (by aminoacyl-tRNA synthetases). tRNAs cope with the degeneracy of the genetic code in two manners: having more than one tRNA (with a specific anti-codon) for a particular amino acid; and 'wobble' base-pairing, i.e. permitting non-standard base-pairing at the 3rd anti-codon position. The record is from Rfam by way of RNAcentral. Lineage: Eukaryota; Fungi; Ascomycota; Lecanoromycetes; Lecanorales; Ramalinaceae.